GCAUUAGGACUAGAAAAGUCUGGAUUCUAACCCAAGCUUUCUGUAGAGAGUUCUUGUGGAUCCAACUACAAAGCCCAUUUGGGCUGGUUUCCUCAUCAGCAAGAAAGGAAUGUCACGACAGUGUUUGAAGACUGUACUGAGGCUUAAAAGGGCACAUGAGAAGUAUCUUGACCAGUGCUAAAGCACAUAUCUGUACAUAAUAAAUUUACAAGUUCCUCUUUGAUAGUUUCAUAGAUUUUAAUCUUUAGUUUCCUCUAGCCAGGAGCUUUAAGAAGCACUAGUUAUAAUAGACUUUACCACAGACAACUUUGAACACAAUUAACAUACUCAUAUCACUUGCCCAGGCCUCAUUCAUAAGAAUUGCCUGCCCUUCCCAACUAUUCAUUAUAAACCCAGUUUCCCAGGCCUCUUCCUAGGUUUUUAAGUGGAUCCAGGACAGGGUCAGGGAAUUUGUGGGUUUAAUAAAUAUCUGAAGUAAUUAUCUUCCAGGAUAAUACUGACAACAGAGUUUGGUUUUAUUUAUGUAGUGCAGGGGACAAAACAACCCCAGGCCUCAUGCAAGCUGGGUAAGUGCUCUACCAUUGAUCUAUAACCACAACCCCAUAACUCAGCUUCUUCAACUUUAAUGGACAAUUUGGCUGUUGUGUUGAAAUGCACAUAAUCAGUGGGUCUGAGAUGGGGCCUAAAAUCAUUCAUUUCUAGCAUGCCCAUGGGGGAUGCAAAAGUUGCUGGUCUGAGGAUGACACUCUGAAAAGGUCAUUAGGGUCUGGGUAACUGGACCAGCAGUUACCUAGUAAGUAUCUUAAAGGUCUUUCUGUGAUUUCACAAGGAGGUGGGAAAAUGAGUUAAACAAAAUGUUAAGCUGUGAGUGGGUAAUUUCUUGUUUUUGCUUGUCAACCUUGACUACACAAGAAACAGUUUUUAAAAAUUAUAGAUGCCUGGGUCCAAACUUCAGAUACAAAUUCCCUAGUGUGGCCAGGAAGGCAGUCCCUGAGCCAGUUUAAAGCUUGUUGAUUCUCAGAAAUUUUAGCCCUGCAUAGGGCCUGCUAAACCAAAAUCCGCAAGUCAUGCUACCUUAUCUCCUGUCACCAAACCAAUCAGUUUUCUCUGAAGGGCUCGGCUGUUGAGUGCCCAAUGUGAUUGCCCCACAUGAGUAGAUAAGUAUCAAUUUUUUAAGAAGUGAUUUCUCCUUAGCUGAACAGCUAUCUCCAGUUCUUGAAUUCUCUGGUUUUCUUAACAAUCUUGAAUCCCCCACUCCCACCCCCAUCCCAACACCCAUUCCAAAAGAGAACUUGUGGCUUCUGUAGGUGGGACCCCAUUGCCCUGACACUGUUAAAGAUUUACUAAAAAGCAAUGCCUUUGACUUUAAGAUGAGCCCUCACAGUUUGUUAGGGAAAUGCUAUACCAGGAAACACAUGUAUAACUACCUACCCCUUGCAUUUAAAAAAAAAAUAGCACCAUGUAGAUGUUGACAAUUUGGUGCAAGAAAUUAUGUUACAGUGGGCACAUCCAUGAGAGCACAAUUGUCUGGAUGUCUGCCCUUUCAUGACCUCCGUAGUGUUAUAGUGAAUGAAUCUUCAUUCUUUCACUUGUUUCAGACUUCAUUUUAUGUAUUCACUCUAAAUUGGUUGCUUAACAGUGAUUGCUGUGGUUCUGAUAUAUAUACUUUGUGGGUUUUCCCUUCAUGGCAAAGGCCGACUUUACUUCAUAGUAUGAUAUCAGUACCAUUAAACUGGCCAUUUCCAUAAUUGCUUUUUAAAAAUAUGAUUCUUAGCACAGUAAAUUUCUCUAAACCAAGAGAAAUAUAUUCUCAGGCAAUUAGAAUCACUGUCAUGGUCCUGUCCCCCAUCUUCUUUUAACUUGUAGUAGAAGAGGAGGAGGUGAGGCUUUUUCUACAUCCCUGAGCCCAGCACUUAUCUAGGAUGCUGUGGACAUAGUUUGAGUAUGUUCCCCAAAAGUUCAUGUGCUGGAAGCUUGGACCCCAAUGUGGUGGUGGUGAAGUAGGGCCUACCACAAAGUGGGUGGAUCUCUGGGGCCACCAGCUUUGAAAGGGAUUAAUGAAGGUCUCUUGGGAUCUCAGUUAUUCUUACAAGAGAGAGCUAUUAUGGUCCUGCCAUUGUGAUGCCAUCUGCCCUCAUCAGAGUCUGAGUGGAUGGAUCAGCUGAUUCUGGACUUUCUGCUUCUAUAACUGCACCUUCUUUAUAAAGUAUCCUGUCUUCGGUAUUUUGUUAUAGCAAAUGGCCUAACAGGUAGGCUAAGGGAAUAUUUAAAGAGAUGCCCCACAUCCCAAAGAAUAUGAAAAUUACUUAAAAUAUUUAAAUCACAGUAACAGCAUAGAGUUCUUGAAUUUGACAAAAAUCUCUCUAAGGAUGAACAGAUCUGAAGGAGUAGGUAAGUGGCAAGGAAACCAGAUAGGAGGCUACUGGGCUCAUCUGGGGGAGAGAUGAUGAUAGAGAUUAAGGGUUCUGGUAGCAGAAAAGUGAUGAGAAUAGGGAGCAUAAAAGUGAUGGGAAUAGAGAGCAUUUUGCAAAUUUGGUGAUUUUGCAUGUGUGUGUGUG
Molecule: long non-coding RNA, 2558 nt
Filed under: Marmota monax (woodchuck)
Lineage: Eukaryota; Metazoa; Chordata; Mammalia; Rodentia; Sciuridae
Source: RNAcentral